AGUAACGCGUGAGAAACCUGCCUUUCAGUGGGGGACAACAGUUGGAAACGACUGCUAAUACCGCAUAAUGUCAUUUAGGGGCAUCCCUGGAUGACCAAAGCUUUAUGUGGCUGAAAGAUGGUCUCGCGUCUGAUUAGCUAGAUGGCGGGUAACGGCCACCGAUGGCGACGAUCCAGUAGCCGGUCUGAGAGGAUGAACGGCCACAUUGGGACUGAGAUACGGCCCAGACUCCUACGGGAGGCAGCAGUGGGGAAUAUUGGGCAAUGGGCGAAAGCCUGACCCAGCAACGCCGCGUGAAGGAAGUAAGGCCUUCGGGUUGUAAACUUCUUUUAGCAGGGACGAAGUAACGUGACGGUACCUGCAGAAAAAGCAACGGCUAACUACGUG
RNAcentral lists this ribosomal RNA (387 nucleotides) under uncultured bacterium. RNAcentral describes it as "bacterial SSU rRNA". It matches the Rfam family "Bacterial small subunit ribosomal RNA", at positions 109 to 507 of the family's 1533-position model. The record is from RNAcentral.